AUAUGACUGAGUGGCGGACGGGUGAGUAACGCGUGAGCAACCUGCCCUUCAGAGGGGGAUAGCGUCUGGAAACGGACGGUAAUACCGCAUAACAUAUAUUGAUGGCAUCAUUGAUAUAUCAAAGCUAUUGCGCUGAAGGAUGGGCUCGCGUCUGAUUAGAUAGUUGGUGGGGUAACGGCCUACCAAGUCGACGAUCAGUAGCCGGACUGAGAGGUUGAACGGCCACAUUGGGACUGAGACACGGCCCAGACUCC
Molecule: ribosomal RNA, 254 nt
Filed under: uncultured Oscillospiraceae bacterium
Lineage: Bacteria; Bacillati; Bacillota; Clostridia; Eubacteriales; Oscillospiraceae
Description: partial 16S ribosomal RNA
Rfam family: Bacterial small subunit ribosomal RNA
Source: RNAcentral